CGGUCAGUGUGACAUGUGCUUCGUGGAGUUACAGUGAUACGUUUCUUCCAACGGAAACUCGACAUAUUCUGCCAGUUCCCGUGCACAUACUUGCUCCAAAAAGAAUUUUCAAGACUUAUGUUUCCUCAAACUUGUUCAGGAGCGGAAAACUGAAUACGUUUGGAUUUUGCAGGAAAUAAGCGAGAAUACAGAGAAGGGAUGUAUUCUGCAUUUGGGAAAGAGGAUUGGAUACGCACAAGAUGAUCUAAAGAACUCAGCGAAACGUUUGAACACUAACAAAAAAGAGAUUCAAGACAUAUAAAUACACAUUAAAUAUUAAA
Long non-coding RNA from Pocillopora verrucosa, 320 nucleotides. RefSeq lists it as uncharacterized. NCBI's taxonomy places the organism in Eukaryota, Metazoa, Cnidaria, Anthozoa, Scleractinia, Pocilloporidae. The record is from RefSeq and is a predicted model, not a curated record.